This 506-nucleotide ribosomal RNA is filed under the name uncultured bacterium. RNAcentral's name for it is "bacterial SSU rRNA". It matches the Rfam family "Bacterial small subunit ribosomal RNA", at positions 29 to 524 of the family's 1533-position model. The record is from RNAcentral.
AUUGAACGCUGGCGGCGUGCCUAACGCAUGCAAGUCGAGCGGUAACAGGUGUAGCAAUACAUGCUGACGAGCGGCGGACGGGUGAGUAACGCUUGGGAAUCUGCCUAUUAGUGGGGGACAACCCGGGGAAACUCGGGCUAAUACCGCAUACGCUCUACGGAGGAAAGCCGGGGACCGCAAGGCCUGGCGCUAAUAGAUGAGCCCAAGUCGGAUUAGCUAGUUGGUAGGGUAAUGGCCUACCAAGGCGACGAUCCGUAACUGGUCUGAGAGGACGACCAGUCACACCGGAACUGAGACACGGUCCGGACUCCUACGGGAGGCAGCAGUGGGGAAUAUUGGACAAUGGGCGAAAGCCUGAUCCAGCGACGCCGCGUGGGUGAAGAAGGCCUGCGGGUUGUAAAGCCCUUUCAGUGGGGAAGAAAAGCCUCGACCUAACACGUCGGGGUCUUGACGUAACCCAUAGAAGAAGCACCGGCUAACUCUGUGCCAGCAGCCGCCGCCGUAAG